RNAcentral lists this long non-coding RNA (598 nucleotides) under Cairina moschata (Muscovy duck). RNAcentral's name for it is "domestica (muscovy Duck (domestic type)) lncRNA (ENSCMMG00000005891.1)". Lineage: Eukaryota; Metazoa; Chordata; Aves; Anseriformes; Anatidae. The record is from RNAcentral.
UCAGCAUCACGUGUGUUUUCCUCACACAUAAACAAUAUUUUAGGCAGAGUUAUUUGCAGUACUCUGGUGUAGACAAUAAACACACAAAGCUAUUUUGUGAAAACGUGCAGCUCUUAAUUUAAAUCUGACUUUUGCUCUUAAAUCUUCAAAAAGAUGUGGAGAAGGACAGGAAAAAUAUGGAUGCUGCUGAGUUCCAGGCACCUCAAGACCUCAUUCUGCAGAUGGUGCUGAGCAGGGUUUGAUGUUGAGCUGCUGCAUCAUGGUCCUCCAUCCAAAUCCACACUGCAACAUUGGUAUGCCCGCUGCCAGUGGCCCAGGCUAAAAGGUGACUUUGAAGAAGAAGAUAAACUUUCCACACUGAUGAUGGAUUCUUUUUUCUGCUAUUUUGAUUAAAAAUGAAGCUGAAAAUCUUUUAAAGCUUUAGAGGCAGAAUUCCUUCAGCUAAAAAAGAAUGAGAAGAGCAUCAGGUAGCAGUGUGAACUUCUGCAUAGUAUUGAGUAUGUGCUACUCUGUGGAAGAACCAUUUCUAGAAGUGUCCCCUGACACAGGCACAUGAAAGACAGGCCUUGGAUGAAGCCGUAAUGUUGUACUUCUCCAU